CCUUUUCACUUCCUGUUUUCCUCCUUUGCUCUGCUGGUUUAGCCUUUGUAUAUGAUGAGGAGGUUUCACUCACUACAAUGUCACCUAGUUGAAAGAUGACUUCUCUGUUCCUGAUACAAUAGAGGAGUAUUGAUACAUUUUUAUUAUUGACUAUUUAAAAAUAUAUCAAUUAUAGAGGGCUACAAAAAUCUGGCCUCUUUUGAAAUGAGAAUAGAAAGACACAUAGACCAUAUUUUCAGAACCCCAAAUUGGGACACCUAGUGUGAAAAAUUAUAAGUUAAUUUAUAGGAACGAUGAAAGAGAAAGUCAAGAUUAAGAUUGUAAUGGAGAAUCCUGAAUACUCAGCAACCCUGGGCACAGGAGUAUAGGUGUCUUUAAGAGGGUAUUCAAUGGACUGAAGCAAGUUGGCUCCCAGGUGUGGUGGUGCACACCUGUUGCCCUAGCCACUUGGGAGGCUGAGGUGGGAGGAUCACUUGAGCCUGGAGGUAAAGCCUGCAGGGAGCUGUGAUCAUGUCACUGCUCUCCAGCCUGGGCAACAGAAUGAGGCCCUGUCUCAAAACAAAACAAAACAAAACAAAACAAAAACAACAACAACAACAAAACCAAAAAACAAACAAACAAAACAAAACAAAAACAAAAACCACCCCCAAACAAUUAAAAAACCCCUAAGAUUUAUGAACAAGUGGGCAAUCAGCUCUGCAUUUCUAGAUUAAGCUAGGUCCCAAUUCUUCCUCAGCCUCCACUCCUCCACCCUAUAAUCUUUUUAUCGCUUCCCCUCCUCACACCUGGUCGGGCUUACAGUUUCAUUCCGUGACUAGCCCUCCCCCACCUGCCCAGCAAUUUAUUCUUAAAAAGGUGGCUGGAGCUAGCUUCUCAGAAUUCAGGCCUGUCCUCAAUGCUACAAGGUACAGCCCAUUUAAGCUCCUGUAUAGACGCUCCUUUUUAUUAGGCCCCAGUCUCAUUUGACACCAGACCAACUUAGACUGUGCCCCAAAAAAACUUGUCAUCCCUACUAUCUUUUGUCCAGUCAUACUCCUAUUCACCGUUCUCAACUACUCAUACAUGCCCUGCUCUUGUUUACACUGCCGGUUUACACUGUUUCUCCAAGCCAUCACAGCUGAUAUCUCCUGGUGCUAUCCCCAAACUGCCACUCUAAACUCUUGAAGUAAAUAAAUAAUCUUUGCUGGCAGGACUAUGCUGAAUCUCCUUAGGCACUCUCUAAUCAGAUGUCCUAGGUCCUCCCAAUUCUUAGACCUUUUAUACCUGUUUUUCUCCUUCUCUUAUUCCAUUUAGUUUCUCAAUUCAUCCAAAACCGUAUCCAGGCCAUCACCAAUCAUUCUAUACAACAAAUGUUUCUUCUUACAUCCCCACAAUAUCACCCUUUACCACAAGACCUCCCUUCAGCUUAAUCUCUCCCACUCUAGGUUCCCACGCCGCCCCUAAUCCUGCUUGAAGCAGCCCUAAGAAACAUUGCCCAUUCUCUCUCCAUACCACCCCCACAAAAAUUUUCGCCGCCCCAACACUUCAACACUAUUUUGUUUUGUCUUAUUAAUAUAAGAAGGCAGGAAUGUCAGGCCUCUGAGCCCAGGCCAGGCCAUCGCAUCCCCUGUGACUUGCACGUAUACAUCCAGAUGGCC
RNAcentral lists this long non-coding RNA (1637 nucleotides) under Homo sapiens (human). Its description in RNAcentral is "non-protein coding lnc-HNRNPA2B1-9:1". The record is from RNAcentral. Lineage: Eukaryota; Metazoa; Chordata; Mammalia; Primates; Hominidae.